Molecule: ribosomal RNA, 856 nt
Filed under: uncultured bacterium
Lineage: Bacteria
Description: bacterial SSU rRNA
Rfam family: Bacterial small subunit ribosomal RNA
Source: RNAcentral
CAUUGGCUCAANCAAUGUAUGCUUUGGAAACUGUUAGACUUGAGUGCAGAAGGGGAGAGUGGAAUUCCAUGUGUAGCGGUGAAAUGCGUAGAUAUAUGGAGGANCACCGGUGGCGAAAGCGGCUCUCUGGUCUGUCACUGACGCUGAGGCUCGAAAGCGUGGGUAGCGAACAGGAUUGGAUACCCUGGUAGUNCACGCCGUAAACGCUGAGUGCUAGGUGUUAGGUCCUUUCCGGGACUUAGUGCCGACGCUAACGCAUUAAGCACUCCGCCUGGGGAGUACGACCGCAAGGUUGAAACUCAAAGGAAUUGACGGGGGCCCGCACAAGCGGUGGAGCAUGUGGUUUAAUUCGAAGCAACGCGAAGAACCUUACCAGGUCUUGACAUCCCGAUGCCCGCUCUAGAGAUAGAGUUUUUCUUCGGAACAUCGGAGACAGGUGGUGCAUGGUUGUCGUCAGCUCGUGUCGUGAGAUGUUGGGUUAAGUCCCGCAACGAGCGCAACCCUUAUUGUUAGUUGCCAUCAUUAAGUUGGGCACUCUAGCGAGACUGCCGGUGAUAAACCGGAGGAAGGUGGGGAUGACGUCAAAUCAUCAUGCCCCUUAUGACCUGGGCUACACACGUGCUACAAUGGUUGGUACAACGAGUCGCAAGCCGGUGACGGCAAGCUAAUCUCUGAAAGCCAAUCUCAGUUCGGAUUGUAGGCUGCAACUCGCCUACAUGAAGUCGGAAUCGCUAGUAAUCGCGGAUCAGCACGCCGCGGUGAAUACGUUCCCGGGCCUUGUACACACCGCCCGUCACACCACGAGAGUUUGUAACACCCAAAGUCGGUGAGGUAACCAUUUAUGGGGCCAGCCGCC